RNAcentral lists this ribosomal RNA (383 nucleotides) under uncultured eukaryote. Its description in RNAcentral is "partial 18S ribosomal RNA". It matches the Rfam family "Eukaryotic small subunit ribosomal RNA", at positions 592 to 976 of the family's 1831-position model. The record is from RNAcentral.
CAAUAGCGUAUAUUAAAGUUGUUGCGGUUAAAAAGCUCGUAGUUGGAUCUCGGCAGGCAGGGGGUGGUUCGCUCUUAGCGCUACUGCCCCAUUUGCCUGUGUGAUUGGCGGAGGUUUCGGGGUGCUCUUCGUUGAGUGACCCGGGGCGCCGUCAGGUUUACUUUGAAAAAAUUAGAGUGCUCAAAGCAGGCUUUUCACGCUUGAAUAUUCGUGCAUGGAAUAAUGGAAUAGGAGCUCGUUUCUAUUUUGUUGGUUUUCGGAAAUCGAGUUAAUGAUUAAUAGGGACAAUUGGGGGCAUUAGUAUUCAGACGACAGAGGUGAAAUUCUUGGACCGUCUGAAGACUAACUACUGCGAAAGCAUUUGCCAAGAGUGUUUUCAUUAA